UUCUGAAAGCCACCUUUUGGGUAUCCCAUGGAAGUCUCUGCCCGGAGCCUGAACCCCCAGGAGUGGCCGAGGAGGAGAGGAAGAGCGGCUCCUCGUCCCGUCCCACAGAAAGCUGGAAGCUGCAGAUGGUUCUCCCGCCGGAGAGAGAAGCAGCGAAGAGAAAUCUCUGCAGAAGACAAUUGCCCAUCGCUUGGGAAGAAAUAAGUUAACGCCUGGCAGAGCCGCGGUGCGUUCUCGCUGGGCAGCGGGAGGGAGGAGGAAAGACACGGAUCCUGCAACGCCACCAGAGGCGACAGCAAAUGCUAUUUAUAUUAAGCCAUGAGAGAUUAGUCAAUUUCACACACCCUUAGGAAGUUUUUGCUAGCGGACGCCUUUGCAUAAAUGGGAUUGCUCUUUUCUUUUUCUUUUUCCCUUUUGCUUGCUUUUUUAAAAAGAAGGGCAAGCGUAGCAAGUACCACGAGCAACGUUUUUGGGAUCCUGGCUCAGGAUAUCCAGAUCCAUCCAUGUAUUUAUUUAUUUUUUUAAAAAAAUCUAUAAUAUAUACUCAAUAAAGCUUGAUUCGCUUAAAAAAGAAAGCACAAGUCAUUUGACUGCAUAGCAUAAACGGUGUGUGAGAAAGAGAGAGACUAAGAAUUCGUAUUUUCUUUAUGUCCCCGUCUUUGACACACCCACCCACUCACUCUUUCUUUAAAAAAAAAAAUGUGCUGUUUUCAAACGCCUCUGUGUAAAACAAUUAAAAAAAAUUUUUUGGCACCGAUCCAUUAAAACGAAUAAGUCUCACUUAUUUUGGUGAGAGUUACGCAUGUGCUUAAGCAGGGCGGAGGCGCUAGCAGUCCCAGACAAGGACGGGUGAUUUACAGCAAGACAAAUCCUCUCCCGGCCCCACCACCCUUUCCCCCUUCCUUCGGCACUGGGAUGGUUUCGCAAGAGACACAAGGGGCUUUCUCUUUUGUCUAGGACACAAAAAGCAAAGGCAUUUCUGGAUUCCAAGACAGACAUCCGUUAGAGCAGGCGGUGGAUUCGAAAGAGACCCCCCCCUCCCUUGGCACGCGUUGGUGGUGUGGCGCGCCCCUAACUGCGCCUUCCCUUCCAGCAGGGUCUCCGGGGGUUCCUUAGCAAAAAGUGGGGCUGUCAACGAUUAAAAACAUCUUUUGUUGCUCGA
Non-coding RNA from Podarcis muralis (Common wall lizard), 1162 nucleotides. NCBI's taxonomy places the organism in Eukaryota, Metazoa, Chordata, Lepidosauria, Squamata, Lacertidae. The record is from RefSeq and is a predicted model, not a curated record.